RNAcentral lists this ribosomal RNA (490 nucleotides) under uncultured bacterium. RNAcentral describes it as "partial 16S ribosomal RNA". It matches the Rfam family "Bacterial small subunit ribosomal RNA", at positions 30 to 507 of the family's 1533-position model. The record is from RNAcentral.
AUUGAACGCUGGCGGCAGGCCUAACACAUGCAAGUCGAACGGUAACAGGAAGCAGCUUGCUGCUUCGCUGACGAGUGGCGGACGGGUGUGUAAUGUCUGGGAAACUGCCUGAUGGAGGGGGAUAACUACUGGAAACGGUAGCUAAUACCGCAUAACGUCGCAAGACCAAAGAGGGGGACCUUAGGGCCUCUUGCCAUCGGAUGUGCCCAGAUGGGAUUAGCUAGUAGGUGGGGUAACGGCUCACCUAGGCGACGAUCCCUAGCUGGUCUGAGAGGAUGACCAGCCACACUGGAACUGAGACACGGUCCAGACUCCUACGGGAGGCAGCAGUGGGGAAUAUUGCACAAUGGGCGCAAGCCUGAUGCAGCCAUGCCGCGUGUAUGAAGAAGGCCUUCGGGUUGUAAAGUACUUUCAGCGGGGAGGAAGGGAGUAAAGUUAAUACCUUUGCUCAUUGACGUUACCCAAAGAAGAAGCACCGGCUAACUACGUG